UAAGCCCUGUUCGUUUUGACAACGCUGCGACUAGAGUCAGCGUCAAAAAACUGUUAAUGAUUUCCUUCUUGACUCAUCGGUGGGCUGAGAAACAGAAGACGCUGCGAUUAAAUAAUCAAACGAAUUCGGUGGUGUCGCAGCCGCUAAAAAAAGCAGCGUCAAUGUUCAUCCUCUUUCUCCUUUUCUAGCGACUGAAAACACAUAAAUUUCCUUCACUUUUGCUUUCUCUUUCCU
Molecule: long non-coding RNA, 234 nt
Filed under: Brassica napus (rape)
Lineage: Eukaryota; Viridiplantae; Streptophyta; Magnoliopsida; Brassicales; Brassicaceae
Description: long non-coding RNA (BNAP_LNC022507)
Source: RNAcentral